ACGUAGGAUGCGAGCGUUGUCCGGAAUUAUUGGGCGUAAAGAGAACGUAGGCGGUUUCUUAAGAUUGGUCUUAAAGACCGGGGCUUAACUCCGGGAAUGGAUCGAUAACUGGGAGACUGGAGGACGUCAGAGGAAAGUGGAAUUCCGAGUGUAGAGGUGAAAUUCGUAGAUAUUCGGAAGAACACCAGUGGCUAAGGCGACUCACUGGACACGUAUUGACGCUGAGGUGCGAAAGCGUGGGGAGCAAACAGGA
This 253-nucleotide ribosomal RNA is filed under the name uncultured prokaryote. Its description in RNAcentral is "partial 16S ribosomal RNA". It matches the Rfam family "Bacterial small subunit ribosomal RNA", at positions 525 to 777 of the family's 1533-position model. The record is from RNAcentral.